RNAcentral lists this ribosomal RNA (788 nucleotides) under uncultured bacterium. RNAcentral's name for it is "bacterial SSU rRNA". It matches the Rfam family "Bacterial small subunit ribosomal RNA", at positions 8 to 796 of the family's 1533-position model. The record is from RNAcentral.
AGAGUUUGAUCAUGGCUCAGGAUGAACGCUAGCGGCAGUAACACAUGCAAGUCGAGGGGCAGCACGAUGUAGCAAUACAUUGGUGGCGACCGGCGCACGGGUGCGUAACACGUAUGGAAUCUGCCCUGUACUGGAGGAUAGCCCGGAGAAAUCCGGAUUAAUACUCCAUGAUCGUCGAGGUGGCAUCACCUUGAUCUGAAAGCUCCGGCGGUACAGGAUGACCAUGCGCACGAUUAGCUAGUUGGUGAGGUAACGGCUCACCAAGGCUACGAUCGUUAGGGGGCCUGAGAGGGUUAUCCCCCACACUGGUACUGAGACACGGACCAGACUCCUACGGGAGGCAGCAGUGAGGAAUAUUGCGCAAUGGAGGCAACUCUGACGCAGCCAUGCCGCGUGCAGGAUGAAGGCGCUACGCGUUGUAAACUGCUUUUAACCGGGAAGAAACCCCAGGACGUGUCCUGGGUUGACGGUACCGGUGGAAUAAGCACCGGCUAACUUCGUGCCAGCAGCCGCGGUAAUACGAAGGGUGCAAGCGUUAUCCGGAUUCAUUGGGUUUAAAGGGUGCGUAGGCGGAGCGUUAAGUCAGUGGUGAAAUCCCGCAGCUCAACUGUGGAAUUGCCAUUGAUACUGGCGCUCUUGAGUGCGGUUGACGUGGGCGGAAUGUGCCGUGUAGCGGUGAAAUGCUUAGAUAUGGCACAGAACACCGAUCGCGAAGGCAGCUCGCGAAGCCGCAACUGACGCUGAGGCACGAAAGCGUGGGCGAACAGGAUUAGAUACCCUAGUAGUCC